GUGGUUGAAAGUUUAAAGGAAUGUAUGUAUGAAAUCUUCAAUUGUUUGAUAAUCAAAAUGUUCUAUCAUUUAAAUUUUUUGGUGAUAGAAUUGAUUUCUUUUUCAGGUGUGCAUGUUAAGCAUAUUUAUCUGAAAUCUGUAUGGUAGUUUUAGCGUUGUUCAUACAUUUAAUUUGUGGAGUUUGAAGCUUUGACAUUACUCCUUGGAUGAACGGUUAAAGUGUCACCAUUUGCCAGUGUUAAAUUUAGUACAUUGAACUCUUGAUUUCACAGCCACAAAUAUUCUAGGUAUGAGCAAAAGUAUUUUCUGAUACUCGGAUUGGAGAUAUGAAAGCAUCAUGGUCUUAUCUUCGGAGACCUUUGACAAAUACCUGACCUUAUUAUUUUUUUUUGGUAAGUACCUGACCUAAUUAUUUGUGAUAGCCGUGUUUAAUGGAAAGAUUUUAGAAUUUUACAAUGUAAAUGCUGCCCAGAGUUUAUACUUAUUUGCUUAACUCAGUUAUUUUUUUCUCUACCAUAUUCAUAUCUUUUCAAUCAGCUUAGCUAAAGAAGAUUGAAGCGGGAUUGACGGAGAGUUGGUAUCGCAACCUUACCUCUAAUAUCAAACCAUGGUCACAUAUUAUAUAGCAGCAACUAUGCCAUCGUUGUUUUAACUUAACUACUUGAUAUAAACAGACAUUAUAAUAUGAGGAUGCUGGUUGAUUAUUUAAAGAGUUCUUCUUUGUCAAGGUUGGAGAAGAUCAAAUUGAAUGCUUGGUCGAGAGUAGUACUAGGAUGGGUGAUGUUUACAAUGUUCCUUAGGCAGCCAGUAAAAUGCUUCUUGAUCUUGAUAGUUAUUGAACUAUUGUUGGUGUUGGAGACUGGAAAAUGGAAAGAUGACUAACUUUUAUUCAAAAAAUGUUUCUAAGUAGGAUACACUACACAGAAACUAGUGAAAUAGACAGAAGAGAACAAUCACACAGCAAAAAACUCAUGAUUUAAAUGUUCAGACAACAUGCCCAUGUCCACGUGUGAAGAUAUUAGGGAAAAACACAAAGUUGGAACAGGCAUAGCAAUGUUGAAAGCAA
Molecule: long non-coding RNA, 1066 nt
Filed under: Musa acuminata (dwarf banana)
Lineage: Eukaryota; Viridiplantae; Streptophyta; Magnoliopsida; Zingiberales; Musaceae
Description: long non-coding RNA (MACU_LNC004621)
Source: RNAcentral